Molecule: long non-coding RNA, 324 nt
Filed under: Homo sapiens (human)
Lineage: Eukaryota; Metazoa; Chordata; Mammalia; Primates; Hominidae
Description: HSALNT0165659
Source: RNAcentral
GACUUUUCAAGCAAUCACUCAAGGACUUGGACUUUUUUAAAUUGUAUUUCUCCCCUCCUUUAGGUUCAUGAUGCUCUCUCUGGCCACCUUCCAGACAGGAAGAAAGAGCAGAGGAUCACUGUGAGAGGAAUUUGAGGAUCAAAUCCUGAAGUGGUGAUGUCUGAACAUCCUGGACUGUCUUCAGCAAGAAUCUUGUUAGGAGUAGAAAGCAGAAGGCAACGUUAGAUGUAAAAAGAAAGACCUCAAAGCACUGUUGCUGGUAUGAAGAUGGAGGGGAGCAGAGAGGGAGAAGUAUCAAGAAACUCAGGAGUUAAGGUGAAAAAU